Molecule: ribosomal RNA, 384 nt
Filed under: uncultured bacterium
Lineage: Bacteria
Description: bacterial SSU rRNA
Rfam family: Bacterial small subunit ribosomal RNA
Source: RNAcentral
GACGAACGCUGGCGGCGUGCUUAACACAUGCAAGUCAAGGGGGACCCGGUGGCAACAUCGGGUAACCGGCGAACGGGUGCGUAACACGUGAGCAAGCUUCCGAUUUGUGGGGGAUAGCCGGCCCAACGGCCGGGUAAUACCGCAUACGAUCACCGGGCGGCAUCGUCUGGUGAGGAAACCUCCGGGGCAAAUCGAGGCGCUCGCGGCCUAUCAGCUAGUUGGCGGGGUAACGGCCCACCAAGGCUAUGACGGGUAGCUGGUCUGAGAGGAUGGCCAGCCACAUUGGGACUGCGACACGGCCCAGACUCCUACGGGAGGCAGCAGUGGGGAAUAUUGCGCAAUGGACGAAGUCUGACGCAGCGACGCCGCGUGUGGGAUGAAGCC